GCCUAAAGCCCUGGGCAAACUAGGAAACAUUGUUGCGGAAACAUUGUUUCCUACCAAUGUUUCGCCAUGUUUCCCAGAGUGGGCAAACACUACGAAACAUUAGUGAGAAACAUAGGGAAACAUCAAAUGUUUCUGAAUUUGCUAGGAAACAUUUUUGCUUCCCGGGAAGCAAAUUUUGUUUCCGCAACAAUGUUUCCACGGGUGGGCAAACAUGGAAACAUUUGAGGAAACAUCGAGAAUCACAAAUGUUUUCGCAACAAUGUUUCCUAGUUUGCCCAGGGCUUAAGGG
Non-coding RNA from Paramuricea clavata, 289 nucleotides. The record is from the annotation of a GenBank genome assembly. Lineage: Eukaryota; Metazoa; Cnidaria; Anthozoa; Malacalcyonacea; Plexauridae.